Non-coding RNA from Pilatotrama ljubarskyi, 84 nucleotides. The record is from the annotation of a GenBank genome assembly. Lineage: Eukaryota; Fungi; Basidiomycota; Agaricomycetes; Polyporales; Polyporaceae.
GCCCGCCUAGCUCAAUCGGAUAGAGCGUCAGACUCUUACUCGGCGGGAAUCUGAAGGCUGCGAGUUCGACCCUCGCGGUGGGCU